RNAcentral lists this non-coding RNA (177 nucleotides) under uncultured Flavonifractor sp. The record is from RNAcentral. Lineage: Bacteria; Bacillati; Bacillota; Clostridia; Eubacteriales; Oscillospiraceae.
GUGUCCCUCCUAGAGGAAUGAUAGACAACCGGGUGAGAAUCCCGGACGGUACCGCCGCUGUAAGCGCUGAGGCCGCUGCUCGUUGAUGAAGAUCAGCCACUGGGAAACCGGGAAGGCAGAGCACGGACGCAGGAGAGGCAGCUCUCCCUAAGCGUAAGUCAGAAGACCUGCUUGAGG